UGGCUCAGGACGAACGCUGGCGGCGUGCUUAACACAUGCAAGUCGAGCGGAAAGGCCCUUCGGGGUACUCGAGCGGCGAACGGGUGAGUAACACGUGAGUAACCUGCCCCAGGCUUUGGGAUAACCCUCGGAAACGGGGGCUAAUACCGGAUAUUCAUGCGGUGUGGCAUCACAUUGUGUGGAAAGUUUUUCGGCGUGGGAUGGGCUCGCGGCCUAUCAGCUUGUUGGUGGGGUGAUGGCCUACCAAGGCGACGACGGGUAGCCGGCCUGAGAGGGCGACCGGCCACACUGGGACUGAGACACGGCCCAGACUCCUACGGGAGGCAGCAGUGGGGAAUAUUGCACAAUGGGCGGAAGCCUGAUGCAGCGACGCCGCGUGAGGGAUGAAGGCCUUCGGGUUGUAAACCUCUUUCGACAGGGACGAAGCGUGAGUGACGGUACCUGGAGAAGAAGCGCCGGCCAACUACGUGCCAGCAGCCGCGGUAAGACGUAGGGCGCGAGCGUUGUCCGGAUUUAUUGGGCGUAAAGAGCUCGUAGGCGGCUUGUUGCGUCAGCUGUGAAAACCCGCAGCUCAACUGUG
RNAcentral lists this ribosomal RNA (580 nucleotides) under uncultured Dactylosporangium sp. RNAcentral describes it as "bacterial SSU rRNA". It matches the Rfam family "Bacterial small subunit ribosomal RNA", at positions 20 to 617 of the family's 1533-position model. The record is from RNAcentral. Lineage: Bacteria; Bacillati; Actinomycetota; Actinomycetes; Micromonosporales; Micromonosporaceae.